This 125-nucleotide small RNA is filed under the name Marmota monax (woodchuck). Lineage: Eukaryota; Metazoa; Chordata; Mammalia; Rodentia; Sciuridae. The record is from RNAcentral.
GCCAGGCAUGGUGGUGCACGCCUAUAAUCCCAGUGGCUCAGGAGGCCGAAGCAGGAGGAUCUUGAGUUUGAAGCCAGCCUCAGCAAAAAGAAGGCACUAAACAACUCAGGGAGACCCUGUUUCUA